This 108-nucleotide small nuclear RNA is filed under the name Sphaeramia orbicularis (orbiculate cardinalfish). RNAcentral's name for it is "U5 spliceosomal RNA (ENSSORG00005020174.1)". It matches the Rfam family "U5 spliceosomal RNA". From Rfam's summary of the family: U5 RNA is a component of both types of known spliceosome. The precise function of this molecule is unknown, though it is known that the 5' loop is required for splice site selection and p220 binding, and that both the 3' stem-loop and the Sm site are important for Sm protein binding and cap methylation. Lineage: Eukaryota; Metazoa; Chordata; Actinopteri; Kurtiformes; Apogonidae. The record is from RNAcentral.
ACACUCAGUUUAAGAUUGUAUAAAUCUUUUGCCUUUUACUAAAGAGUUCCAUGGAGAGGUGCAAUAGAAGUUUUACCCAAUUUUUUGAUGCUCUGCAAAAGCGGGGCG